GGACCGCCUCAUCUUGCAAAAAGGCAAAAAAAAAAGAAAAUGUUUUUGUUUCUUUCCUUGUAUCGUGUGUCUGAAACAGGCUUCCCGGAAAAAUGGGUUUGUCCUGGAAACAGAAAUUCGAAGAAAAGAAAAUUCUUUCUUUGAUUUCAUUAUUACCCAGAAAAUAGAAAGUGCUGUAAUUAAAACUAUCAGAUCAGAGGUUUUUACUUUUACCCGACUAUGAUGAGGAUGAUGAUAAUGCAUCUGAGUGUUCUUCCCUUUUUGUUUAAAUUCCAUUUCUUCAUCUAGAAACUUCUUUUCUUCAUCGCCUUGUCUAUUCUGUAGUAAAAGAACGAAAUGUUGAGGUUGUGGAGAUGGUACCAGAAUUGCUUGGCAAUCCACCCGGUGAAGACACAGGUUAUAAGCUCAGGCUUGAUUUGGGGAUUUGGAGACAUAGCUGCUCAAACCAUUACUCAUUCAACUGCCAAGAAACACCGUCAUUUACAGUUUUGCAUCAGUCACCACUUGACGAAGGUCAUGACAUUCAGGAAGAGGAUAAAGAAUUAAAGAUCAAUUGGAAAAGAGUGGCUACAACAAGCUUGUUUGGGUUUGGAUUUGUUGGACCAGUUGGCCAUUACUGUGGCUGUAGGUAUGAAGGUUUGGACCGAUAUAUAAGGUUGCGACUUUGUCUACAACCAAAUUCUUUUCGUUUUGUGGCUACUAAAGUUGCAAUUGAUGGGUUCAUCUUUGGGCCAUUGGAUUUACUUGUGUUUUUUACUUACAUGGGAUUUUCUGCUGGAAAGAGUUUCCCUCAAGUCAAGGAAAAUGUAAAGAGAGAUUUUGUCCCAGCCUUAAUUCUUGAAGGGGGUGUAUGGCCAAUUGUACAAGUUGCAAAUUUUCGGUAUAUACCAGUGAGGUACCAACUACUAUAUGUAAACGUCUUCUGCCUGUUGGAUAGCUGUUUCUUGUCAUGGAUUGAGCAACAAGAGGAUGCUCCUUGGAAGCAAUGGCUGAAUUCUUUGCUACCUUCGAAGGAGAAAAGGGGUCAGGGUGGAUGAAUUAUCAAAAUUGAAUGCUCAUGCAUCCAAGGACCCGAUAUCAUAAUGCAAAUACAUAGUAGUUUGUUCUUUGGGAUUCGCUGCUUGAGCCAGAUGGGUUAAGGCCAUAUUCACUGGUGGUUUCACUGUUUCCGCUGAUGCCAUAGUUCUUAGUGCCAAUUGAUGAAUUACUUUUCUUCAUGUUCUCGUAUUGUCGGGCUUUUUGAAUCGGAGUUUCUGAAGACGUGUACAUUGAGCUGUUCCAGGACCUUCCUCCUACAUCAAGAUAAGAGAGCGAAAGAUCUCCUUCUAAAGCACGAACUACCUGCAUUGGUUUUGCAUCUGAGUUGAGACAAUCUGGGCGUUUACUCUGUUCUUAACUGCUGGUGCAAAUUUUAUUUUUAACUUUAAGUAAAUAAAUAAUCACCAUUUUCUACCAAUGAAAGCCCUGUGAACUCGGAAUCUCGUUAAUUGCAUGUAAG
Theobroma umbraticum is the source of this 1498-nucleotide RNA transcript. It is a transcript of the gene named Peroxisomal membrane 22 kDa (Mpv17/PMP22) family protein, with no coding region annotated. NCBI's taxonomy places the organism in Eukaryota, Viridiplantae, Streptophyta, Magnoliopsida, Malvales, Malvaceae. The record is from RefSeq and is a predicted model, not a curated record.